GAUGAACGCUGGCGGCGUGCUUAACACAUGCAAGUCGAACGGAAAGGCGCCUGCUUUCCGGGUCACUCGAUAGCCGAACGGGUGAGUAACACGCGUGGGUUCUGUCCUUCACUUCGGGGUAAAACUUGGAAAAAGGGGCGCAUAUCGGAUAUGACAUUGGGAUGGAUGUGAUUGUGGAGAGUGAGACGGUAUUGGAUGGGCUCGAGGCCGAUUCGCUGGGUGGUGGGGUAAUGGGUUACGAAGGGGUCGACGGAUAGCCGGCAUGGGAGGGGGUACGGGCACCAUGGGACUGAGAUAGGGCGCAGACGCGUACGGGAGGCAGUAGGGGGGAAUAUGGCGCAAUGGGCGCAAGCCUGAGGAAGCGGCGCCGCGUGGGGGAUGACGGCCUUCGGGUUGUAAACAACUUUGGCAGGAGACGAAGCCCAAGUGACGGUACCUGGAGAGGAAGCACCGGCUAACUACGUG
This 465-nucleotide ribosomal RNA is filed under the name uncultured bacterium. RNAcentral describes it as "partial 16S ribosomal RNA". It matches the Rfam family "Bacterial small subunit ribosomal RNA", at positions 28 to 507 of the family's 1533-position model. The record is from RNAcentral.